GACGAACGCUGGCGGCGUGCUUAACACAUGCCAGUCGAACGAAGAGCGAUGGAAGCUUGCUUCUAUCAAUCUUAGUGGCGAACGGGUGAGUAACGUGUAAUCAACCUGCCCUUCAGAGGGGGACAACAGUUGGAAACGACUGCUAAUACCGCAUACGAUCUAAUCUCGGCAUCGAGGAUAGAUGAAAGGUGGCCUCUACAUGUAAGCUAUCACUGAAGGAGGGGAUUGCGUCUGAUUAGCUAGUUGGAGGGGUAACGGCCCACCAAGGCGAUGAUCAGUAGCCGGUCUGAGAGGAUGAACGGCCACAAUGGGACUGAGACACGGCCCAGACUCCUACGGGAGGCAGCAGGGGGGAAUCUUCCGCAAUGGACGAAAGUCUGACGGAGCAACGCCGCGUGAGUGAUGACGGCCUUCGGGUUGUAAAGCUCUGUUAAUCGGGACGAAAGGCCUUCUUGCGAAUAGUGAGAAGGAUUGACGGUACCGGAAGAGAAAGCCACGGCUAACUACGUG
RNAcentral lists this ribosomal RNA (510 nucleotides) under uncultured bacterium. RNAcentral describes it as "partial 16S ribosomal RNA". It matches the Rfam family "Bacterial small subunit ribosomal RNA", at positions 28 to 507 of the family's 1533-position model. The record is from RNAcentral.